Molecule: non-coding RNA, 3720 nt
Organism: Python bivittatus (Burmese python)
Lineage: Eukaryota; Metazoa; Chordata; Lepidosauria; Squamata; Pythonidae
Source: RefSeq, a predicted model, not a curated record
GCCCGCCUCGACCCGCGGUCCGAGUCCCCGCGUGACUGCGCCGGACCCCGGCUGGGGGUCCUCGCGGGGGAAGGGCCAGUCCGGACGGUGGAGUUUGGGGGCCCCGCCCUGGAUCCGAAUCAAAAGUGGCGCCUGAGCGUUGGCCCUAACCUGGCGCGGUGCCAGGUGUUGGCUUGAGUUGCGGUAAUGCCGGCGGGGGAGACAGCGGAGGAGGGCCGGGCAGGCAGGGGCCAGGCGUUCCUUUUCCACUCCGGAGCUCAAGGUGGCUCUCCCGGGGUCUUGCUUCGUUUGAUCCCCGUACCAGUCCUGCGAGCGCGACUGCGCAAAGUCACCCGGAAGCCCCCUGACUGGGGGUGGGCUCGCGCUGUCUCUCGGGCCCUCUGCAAAUCCCUCACGGCCCCGCUCUUGGCCCUCGUUCUGGGCGGGGGAUGCUGCUCCGCCGCGCACCAGGUGGGUGCGAGCAAGGCACCCGCUCGUCCCGCCGAGGGACUUGGACGGACUUUCCAGCGGGAGGUGUCUGCACAGCCAUUACCACGCACUCAGUUGAGUAAGGUUUAAGCCUCUGGCCUCCAGUGUUACGGCUGCAAUGUGAUGGUGGGCAGCAGGUCGGUCAACACGGGUUGCUCCAGUCCAGAAGUGAUCACCUGCCCCCGUUCCCACCAAGGGUUCAAGCACCGGUUUUGCAUCAAGAUAGAAAGUGGAUGAAGAUCUCAGAAUCAUAGAAUUUGGUGCAGGAAUCCACUGAUACCCUCUACUGGUGCCUUUCCACCUGCGAAUGCCUCCAGCUGAGGGGAGGUCUCUGCAUCCUGAGUCACCUGCUCUCCUCGUGAACUGCUCUCGCCCUUGGGAAACCCUUCCUGAUGCCCCACUGGAAGCUCAUUUCUGGUCCUUUCAACGGCUCUUCCUUGUCCCAUCUCCUGGAAUGCCUCUGAAGAAUCCUGCCCCCCCCUUCUGCCACAGACGGAAUCCGGCUGUCCGUUCCCAAGGCCGGAUGGAGCCAGAUGUGCAGCCCGGAGCCCUUCUGUGGCUGAUGGUGCUUUGCGGUGCUUCCUGAACAGCCUUUGCCGAAUUGAACAUCCAGCGUUCAACCUUGGUUUUCAUUCCACGUUUUCAGCUCUGCUUUUUGCAAACGGCUGUUGCACUUGGUCAGUCGAUCAGCAGGUGACUUCCUCUCAUCCAUUUACAGAGCUGCAGUAUCUGUCUUGCACACUUUAGCCUCACGGGGUCACUGCUGCUUGUGCAAAGGCACGCCCUUUUCCAGAUGCCAAAGCCAUCCGUCUGGUAAGGCCUCUGGCAGGUGAAGAAGCAAGGGUCUCCCCCAGCUCUUUAGCCCCUGCCCUCUGCAGCACUUUCUGCUCCACGCCCUGGACCUUCCAACGGCUGUUGCCCGGCCGGCCAGCCGGCCGACCAUUUCACUGCUUCCACCCCUCUCCUCCUCCGGCUCCCCAAGUGCAACUUUGCUAGUGCAUUUCAGGGUAAAUGGGUGGAAAAUGCAAGAAAACGGGAUCUGGUGAGGACAGGGUGGGUGACGCUUCAAAUGUGCUCUUGCCAACUCUGUCCCGGCCGACAGCCAAGAAGGUGACACUUUUCCCUCCAAAGUCCAGUGGUUGAAAUGUUCUUUGGUUUCCACCACGCUUCCAGUAACUCCUGGGUGAGGCCUUAACAUCUGCCCCCCCCCCCCCGCAGAUAAGAGCGAGGAGGGCCUGGGCAGCAGGUCUCCUCCCCGGGGGGGUCUCCACUCCACCCUCUCCUGGGCAGGAGCUCCUGGUGGCGGGGAAAAGAGGCCCCAGAAGACUCUGUUGCAAUUCCACCCUUGCAUCUGCCAGUGUGAGGUGGGCUCUCAAAAAUUAUUUUCCUAACUCCUGUACCAAAGACACCAUUUUUCUGUCUGAAAUCUGUAGCAACAUUUCCCCCACGCCCCUGCAAGAUUUGCAUUUCAACGUAUACCUGUGCUGUCAUUCAGAGAACCUUGUGGGUCUCUACACACACACACACACACACACACACAAACACACACCAUAAGGGAAGGGAAGGGAGCCAUGGAGAGGCUGUUCCGAACAGUUCUGUUCUCAGUGCUUUCCACACAUUCCCUCCUGUGAGGGCUGCCACUUUCAGCCCCACUUCUCUCCAACAAGGAGCGUUGCUCUGAUUCUUGCUGAUUCAGUCUGCUGGCUUUCCCAGCCAGGGACCCUGAGACAUUGAGCCAUUCCGCUGCCCACCACGGAAGACCUGGGCUGGGAGCACCCCAGCAGCUUCCUGGAAGAGUCCUGUGGAGCCUCUGGAAAUGGCAGAUCUGGGGCUGAGAGUUUCCGAUUUGAACUCCCCGCAGGUUCGCUUUCCCCGGCAGAGACUGCGCAGAAAGAGGUGGGAGCCCAGGCCGUGCGCACAAGCGCUCUUUCUGGAGCAGCCCAUUCUGCCUUUGGGGUGCCGGUACAGCUGUGGCGUUUGCUCGCACUGUAGGGAGAGUAAGGGCUCAGGGCCUUUGAGGUGCACGGGAUGCGCUUUCUGAAAAAAGUCUCCAGCUGCUGAGAUGCUGGAGCUCCGUGCUUUGGGCAAAGAGAGAGGCCGAGGUCUGCUCCAGCAAAAUCAGCAAGCAGAGACAGACGAUUCCUUGGGUUGCAACUUUCUGGCAUAAGGCAGAAAGGCAUCUGACUUUUUGCCUUCAUCAUGUAUUUUGCCACAUAUUUUUGGAAUGGGGACUGCCUACCUUGAAAAAACAUUUCCCCUUUUUUCUGUCCAAGAGCACCCAAAAAAGUAGACACAGCUGGGUGGAACUCAGAUGCUAAUUGACCGUAGGAAUGGCAAAAGAGAUGCUCUGAGAUGUUUGUUUUAUGCUCCUUUAUUGAAGUCUUUAUUUUAUGCCGUUUGCUGCUUUUACAGCGAAGCUGCUUCUCCCUGAAACUUGGUCUGAUGACACGUCAUCUUUUCCUGAUGUGGCAGAACUUUAUUAUGGAUUUCCAUUUCGGAUUGUCUUCCAGAGCACAGGAUAGGAUUUCCUAACACACCUCCCUAUUUUCCAAAGCUUCGCCAGGCCUGCUUCCAAGACAUUUUCACCGUUAUAGACUAAUGCCAAUAUUUACAGGGCCUGCCUAUUUUUUGCACGUCCAGAGCUUGCCCAGAAUGCCAACUGUGCUGCUUCCAAGCUGGCCAAUGGUUGAAUAUCCUCCCCGCUGAGCUUCCACAAAUUAAGAACAAUUCCUCCAUCCCCAGUCUACAAAAAGAAAAGAAGAUGCUGCUUGAGGGAGUUUGGCUGUGAACAGGGCGGCCCCUCCCACAGGGAUGCGAGAGCCAGUCUGGCCUAGCAAUGAAGGCCCCCGGCUAGAAAGCAGGAGGCGGUGAGGGAUGAAAGCCGGCCAGGGGGCUUUGGGCCAGCCCAAGGAUGCACUGGGGGAUUUUCUGCCCAGUCCCAGUGGAUCUGGCUCGUUUUCUUGCUCAAAUGUUCUUUCCCAGCUUCUCUUUGCACACCAAACUGGGUCCCGUUCUCCUGCUGACGGCCAGACAGGGUGCCAGACGGCUGUACUCUGAGCCCCAUUUCUUCAUUCUUCUAAGUUGCCAGUGGUUUGGAAAGCAGGAAAGAGGGAAAGAAGCUGCUGAAGAGCCCCUGAAACUGGUCCAAAUGUCUGCGUGGUUGGCAUGGCAGCCAGCCUGCAUUGGCAGCCAGCAGCGUGGGCAGCAAGGUCACUGGCCUGUCUUUCUGAACGGAGGUGGACACCUUCCACC